Molecule: ribosomal RNA, 380 nt
Filed under: uncultured eukaryote
Lineage: Eukaryota
Description: partial 18S ribosomal RNA
Rfam family: Eukaryotic small subunit ribosomal RNA
Source: RNAcentral
CAAUAGCGUAUAUUAAAGUUGUUGCGGUUAAAAAGCUCGUAGUUGGAGUUCUGCCAGGUGCCGCCUGUCCGCCCCAGUGGUGAGUACGUGGCGCGCAUUUGGCCCUUUCAAGGGGAGCGUAUCUGCACUUUAUUGUGUGGUGCGGGAUCCUUGACUUUUACUUUGAGGAAAUAGGAGUGUUCCAAGCAGGCUCUCGUCGUGCACAGCUCAGCAUGGAAUAAUAGCAUUGGACCUCGAUUCUAAGCUGUUGGUUGCCAGAAGCGAGGUAAUGAUGAAGAGGGAUAGUUGGGGGCAUUCGUAUUUAACUGUCAGAGGUGAAAUUCUUGGAUUAGUUAAAGACGGACUACUGCGAAAGCAUCUGCCAUGGAUGUUUUCAUUGA